Molecule: unclassified non-coding RNA, 1616 nt
Filed under: Apis dorsata (giant honeybee)
Lineage: Eukaryota; Metazoa; Arthropoda; Insecta; Hymenoptera; Apidae
Description: uncharacterized LOC102677487, transcript variant X1
Source: RNAcentral
UAUCCUCCAUUUCUCGCGCGAAAGUAGUGCCACCAGUGGCGCUACAGCAAAAUAUACAUCUGUCCCUGUGUUAAAUGGUCUUCCCUCCACAUGCGUAUAAACGCAUACUCUGGUGAAUGCACGAAUUCGGAGGUUUCUGGACAAAGGGUGAGCAGAGAAGGGAGGUGUUACGCUUCGUCUGGUCCUCCGUGAGAUUGCACACCGUGACCAACAAACUACCACGGUUUACGGGAUAUAACUCGGGAGGAACGAGCUCGACAAGAGGGAAACGGAAAAUGCGGGAAAAUGGAGAUGGUCAGGAAAGAAUAGUGUAUGUGAGAACAGGGAAACGUACUGGUUCAAGAGGUACAUACAUAGUAUGUGUCACAAGUGCUGGUAUCUUGAAUUUUCAAAAUAAACAAUGUUUUCAACAGAAGAGACACUUGUUCAACCAAAUUGAAAACCACAAGAUUUCUACUAAAUUUACUAAGUAAAUUUUUACUAAAAAUUUGGUUAGAAUUGAUAACCUUAAAAAAUUUGCUUGGUAAAAAAUACAUGGAUAUACUCGCACAAAAUCACUAUUUUUAACGAGAAUAUAGAGAACUAGUAUACGUUUAGGAAACCACGAUUAUUAAACAUUCCAAUUAAAACGAAUCAAUAAGGUUAAUUAGUUCGCAUAAUUCUAGCUGAAUAUGGCGCGCUACGAAAUGCGUGCGUGGUUGGCUUUUCGUUUGUCAUAUAAUAGUGGAAAGUGGAAAUCCAAGGAUUUAUGCCCCAGAUGGACAUGUUGAUUGUAUCUUGUGGAAAUCCCACUUUCACUCUCAUCGAGUAACGUGUUCUAACUGGCUCUUCGAGUCUGGCCUGGAAUUGUUGAUCACCUUCGUCGGUCACUGGAAGUAAUAAGUAAAUACGUGCGGUAUUUCGUACACAAAGCGAAGGCAUUCCGCCUCCAGUACAAGUUUAAGGACUUUAUGUGGCAAAUUCCUCGCAUCUAGAGAUGUUUAGCCACGAUAAUCAUUAAACCGAGCAUGAAAUUGCAUAAUUUUCUGUGUACAUUACGAAAAUUACGAUUGGAAACGUAAUUGAAAAUGAUUGACGAAUAACAAAAAGUUUUAAUAAAAAAAAUCGGAUUUUAAUAAUUUAAAAAAAAUAUAUAUAUAAUUUGAAAAAAAGAGUAUUUAUAAUGAAUUGAUGCGAGAAAUGACUAGAAAUUAAGAUUUCCUCGCUUAUUGAUCGAUUUAUCUGAUCACAACUUAUUAUUCUACUCGUUUGACCAAACGAUUAGCAAUAUAAUCUACCAUUAGCCGAACUAAUGGUUGACCUAUACCUCUUGUCUGGCCCAGCAAAUGCUAUUUAUCUGAUCAAAUGAUCGAUAUAUUAUCGGCCCGACCAAAGGUUAACCUAUACUACUUGAUUGACCAAAUGAUUGAAGAUGCAAUAUUGGUUAAUAUCCAACUCUGAUUUAAAAAUAUAAAAGUAGCGAGAGUGGUUGACUUGUUCUAUUUAUUCGGUUAUGCAAUUAAGGAUAUGAAAUUGGUUUAGCAAAUAGUUGACCUGUACUACUUGGUAAGAAUACUUGUAUUUGCUUGAAAAUAGUACAGAAUGAAAUUCAAUACAAAAUUAUAUGAAAGAGAAUA